CCCGACGCGGAAGUGUUGGAGGGAGCGGAUCCCGGGGGGCCAGGCCGGGCCCGUCCCGGGACUGCCGCUCCCGCAGUGUCGGGAGCUGCUUCGCCGCGGGGGGAAUACUGUAUAUCUUUCACUUGUUCUGCUCGCUGCCAGCGCAGUGUCCUGAGCCGGGCCGGCUGUGCGCGCUCGGGAGCUCUCCCCGGAGGCUGGGCGGCUCUGGGGGGCUCCGGUGCAGUGCAGGAUGUUCGUCCUCGGUUCCCUCCGUCCGAAAUAAGGCCGUGUACGUGUUUGACGUACUCGGGGUCUCCUCGCCGAGACACCACUAGCUGCGUGAGGACACGGAGUUGUGGGCUGGCUGCGCUGGCUCCAUUCCCUGGCACCUGCAAGAGGUAAGGUAGGGCAGGGAGGGAAGAGCACAGCGGGCACGGUCAUUACUGCCUGCCGCCCUUUGACAGACAGGAAAGGAGAGGGGAAUUUCCAGCACCUGGACUUGAGGACUUGAGUAAUGGAGAUUCUACUUCUGGCACUGGUUUAGCCAAUAGCAUUGAGCAAGUUACAGCCUUGCACUCCCUGUACCUUGGUUUUGUCUGUGAAAUGGAAAUAGUGCUGACGCCCCCCGCUAGAACUUUCAGAUCUGAGUGGAAAAUGUGUGGAAAAAACACUGGAGUGGCAUUAAUGAAUGUGGAAUUUUGAUCUAUUCCUGACUGCUGUUGUCUGUCUUCUACUUUGAUUUUUGCUUUGCACUUGAAACCAAAGUUAUUAAACUUUGAAAAUAAUAAACGUUCUUUAAAAAGU
Molecule: long non-coding RNA, 783 nt
Organism: Catharus ustulatus (Swainson's thrush)
Lineage: Eukaryota; Metazoa; Chordata; Aves; Passeriformes; Turdidae
Exons: 2
Source: RefSeq, a predicted model, not a curated record